Molecule: ribosomal RNA, 497 nt
Filed under: uncultured bacterium
Lineage: Bacteria
Description: partial 16S ribosomal RNA
Rfam family: Bacterial small subunit ribosomal RNA
Source: RNAcentral
GAUGAACGCUGGCGGCGUGCCUAAUACAUGCAAGUCGAGCGAACAGACGAGGAGCUUGCUCCUUUGACGUUAGCGGCGGACGGGUGAGUAACACGUGGAUAACCUACCUAUAAGACUGGGAUAACUUCGGGAAACCGGAGCUAAUACCGGAUAACAUGUUGAACCGCAUGGUUCAACAGUGAAAGACGGUCUUGCUGUCACUUAUAGAUGGAUCCGCGCCGCAUUAGCUAGUUGGUAAGGUAACGGCUUACCAAGGCAACGAUGCGUAGCCGACCUGAGAGGGUGAUCGGCCACACUGGAACUGAGACACGGUCCAGACUCCUACGGGAGGCAGCAGUAGGGAAUCUUCCGCAAUAGGCGAAAGCCUGACGGAGCAACGCCGCGUGAGUGAUGAAGGGUUUCGGCUCGUAAAACUCUGUUAUUAGGGAAGAACAAAUGUGUAAGUAACUGUGCACGUCUUGACGGUACCUAAUCAGAAAGCCACGGCUAACUACGUG